UGGGGAAUAUUGGACAAUGGGCGAAAGCCUGAUCCAGCCAUGCCGCGUGUGUGAAGAAGGUCUUCGGAUUGUAAAGCACUUUAAGUUGGGAGGAAGGGCAGUAAGCGAAUACCUUGCUGUUUUGACGUUACCGACAGAAUAAGCACCGGCUAACUCUGUGCCAGCAGCCGCGGUAAUACAGAGGGUGCAAGCGUUAAUCGGAAUUACUGGGCGUAAAGCGCGCGUAGGUGGUUCGUUAAGUUGAAUGUGAAAGCCCCGGGCUCAACCUGGGAACUGCAUCCAAAACUGGCGAGCUAGAGUAGGGCAGAGGGUGGUGGAAUUGCCUGUGUAGCGGUGAAAUGCGUAGAGAUAGGAAGGAACACCAGUGGCGAAGGCGACCACCUGGGCUCAUACUGACACUGAGGUGCGAAAGCGUGGGGAGCAAACAGG
RNAcentral lists this ribosomal RNA (429 nucleotides) under Pseudomonadota bacterium. RNAcentral describes it as "Proteobacteria bacterium partial 16S ribosomal RNA". It matches the Rfam family "Bacterial small subunit ribosomal RNA", at positions 355 to 776 of the family's 1533-position model. The record is from RNAcentral. Lineage: Bacteria; Pseudomonadati; Pseudomonadota.